GGACCCGCACAAGCAGCGGAGCAUGUGGUUUAAUUCGAAGCAACGCGAAGAACCUUACCAGGGCUUGACAUCCCUCUGACCGGUCGGUAACGCGACCUUCCCUACGGGGCAGAGGAGACAGGUGGUGCAUGGUUGUCGUCAGCUCGUGUCGUGAGAUGUUGGGUUAAGUCCCGCAACGAGCGCAACCCUUGUCAUUAGUUGCCAGCGGUUUGGCCGGGCACUCUAGUGAGACUGCCGGGGAUAACUCGGAGGAAGGUGGGGAUGACGUCAAAUCAUCAUGCCCCUUAUGUUCUGGGCUACACACGUGCUACAAUGGCUGGUACAAAGAGAAGCGAGACCGUGAGGUGGAGCAAAUCUCGAAAACCAGUCCCAGUUCGGAUUGUAGGCUGCAACUCGCCUACAUGAAGUCGGAGUUGCUAGUAAUCGCGAAUCAGCAUGUCGCGGUGAAUGCGUUCCCGGGUCUU
This 464-nucleotide ribosomal RNA is filed under the name uncultured bacterium. RNAcentral's name for it is "bacterial SSU rRNA". It matches the Rfam family "Bacterial small subunit ribosomal RNA", at positions 917 to 1382 of the family's 1533-position model. The record is from RNAcentral.